RNAcentral lists this ribosomal RNA (497 nucleotides) under uncultured bacterium. RNAcentral describes it as "partial 16S ribosomal RNA". It matches the Rfam family "Bacterial small subunit ribosomal RNA", at positions 28 to 507 of the family's 1533-position model. The record is from RNAcentral.
GAUGAACGCUGGCGGCGUGCCUAAUACAUGCAAGUCGAGCGAACAGACGAGGAGCUUGCUCCUCUGACGUUAGCGGCGGACGGGUGAGUAACACGUGGAUAACCUACCUAUAAGACUGGGAUAACUUCGGGAGACCGGAGCUAAUACCGGAUAAUAUAUUGAACCGCAUGGUUCAAUAGUGAAAGACGGUUUUGCUGUCACUUAUAGAUGGAUCCGCGCCGCAUUAGCUAGUUGGUAAGGUAACGGCUUACCAAGGCGACGAUGCGUAGCCGACCUGAGAGGGUGAUCGGCCACACUGGAACUGAGACACGGUCCAGACUCCCACGGGAGGCAGCAGUAGGGAAUCUUCCGCAAUGGGCGAAAGCCUGACGGAGCAACGCCGCGUGAGUGAUGAAGGUCUUCGGAUCGUAAAACUCUGUUAUUAGGGAAGAACAAAUGUGUAAGUAACUAUGCACGUCUUGACGGUACCUAAUCAGAAAGCCACGGCUAACUACGUG